Molecule: ribosomal RNA, 433 nt
Filed under: uncultured bacterium
Lineage: Bacteria
Description: partial 16S ribosomal RNA
Rfam family: Bacterial small subunit ribosomal RNA
Source: RNAcentral
AACGAACGCUGGCGGCAUGCCUAACACAUGCAAGUCGAACGAGACCUUCGGGUCUAGUGGCGCACGGGUUCGUAACCCGUGGGAACCUGCCCUUAGGUUCGGAAUAACUCCCCGAAAGGGGUGCUAAAACGGGAUCAUAUCUUCGGACGAAAAAUUUAUCGCCUUUGGAUGGGCCCUCGUUCAAUUAGCUUGUUGGUAGGGUAAAAGCCUACUAAGGCGACGAUCCAUAGCUGGGUUGAGAGGAAGAUCAGCCACACUGGGACUAAGACACGGCCGAGACUCUUACGGGAUGCGGCAGAGUGUGAUAUUGGAAGAUGGUCUCAAGCCUGAACCAGCAAUGACGGUUGAGUGCUGUAGGCCUUAGAGUUGUAAAGCUCUUUUACCCGUGAUGAUAAUGACGGUACCGGGAGAAAAAGCCCCGGCUAACUCCGUG